GUGGGGAAUAUUGGGCAAUGGGCGAAAGCCUGACCCAGCAACGCCGCGUGAUUGAAGAAGGCCUUCGGGUUGUAAAGAUCUGUCCUAUGGGACGAAAAAAAUGACGGUACUAUAGGAGGAAGCCCCGGCUAACUACGUGCCAGCAGCCGCGGUAAUACGUAGGGGGCGAGCGUUGUCCGGAAUUACUGGGCGUAAAGGGUGCGUAGGCGGUUUUUUAAGUCAGAUGUGAAAUACCCAGGCUUACCUUGGGGGGUGCAUCUGAUACUGGAGGACUUGAGUGCAGGAGAGGAAAGUGGAAUUCCUAGUGUAGCGGUUGAAUGCGUAGAUAUUAGGAGGAACACCAGUGGCGAAGGCGACUUUCUGGACUGUAACUGACGCUGAGGCACGAAAGCGUGGGGAGCAAACAGGAUUAGAAACCCUGGUAGUCC
Molecule: ribosomal RNA, 428 nt
Filed under: uncultured bacterium
Lineage: Bacteria
Description: partial 16S ribosomal RNA
Rfam family: Bacterial small subunit ribosomal RNA
Source: RNAcentral